RNAcentral lists this transfer RNA (87 nucleotides) under Mariprofundus ferrooxydans. Its description in RNAcentral is "tRNA-Leu". It matches the Rfam family "tRNA". Rfam says of the family: Transfer RNA (tRNA) molecules are approximately 80 nucleotides in length. The record is from RNAcentral. RNAcentral also lists the same sequence under 1 other name. Lineage: Bacteria; Pseudomonadati; Pseudomonadota; Candidatius Mariprofundia; Mariprofundales; Mariprofundaceae.
GCCGGAGUGAUGGAAUUGGUAGACGUGAAGGAUUCAAAAUCCUUUGCCCGCAAGGGCGUGCCGGUUCGAGUCCGGCCUCCGGUACCA